RNAcentral lists this RNase P RNA (553 nucleotides) under Deltaproteobacteria bacterium. RNAcentral's name for it is "RNase P RNA component class A". It matches the Rfam family "Bacterial RNase P class A". From Rfam's summary of the family: Ribonuclease P (RNase P) is a ubiquitous endoribonuclease, found in archaea, bacteria and eukarya as well as chloroplasts and mitochondria. Lineage: Bacteria; Pseudomonadati; Myxococcota; Myxococcia. The record is from RNAcentral.
CCUUUUUUACAAAAAGGUUCUCUCGAUAAGAUAACCACGGCGGAGGAAAGUCCGGACACUAUAGGGCAGGGAGGUCGCUAACGGCGACCGGGGGCGACCCCAGGGAUAAGGGCAACAGAAAGUAAACCGCCCCGCAAGGGGUAAGGGUGAAACGGCGGGGUAAGAGCCCGCCAGCGCGCCGGGCGACCGGCGCGGCUAUGCAACCCCCUCCCGGUGCAAGGCCAAAUAGGUCCCACUUACGGCGCUGCUCGCGUCUUCUCCGAUGCCUCUUGUAGUAUUGAGGAAACCUUUUUGUAAAAAGGUUUCCUCAAACUCCAUCCAAAAACUUUCACCUUGUUUUGCGUGCCCCCAUAUGGGGGCACGCAAAACAACAAGGCAAAAGUCUUCGGAAGGGGGUCCGGGGGGAAACCCUUCUACAGAAGGGUUUCCCCCGGUACCACAAGAGGCAUCGGAAGGUGGGACGGGUUGGCUGCUCGAGGUAAGCGGCAACGCUUAUCCCAGAUAAAUGGCCGUUACCCUGCAAGGGGGACAGAAUCCGGCUUACAGAGGCCUC